CCCUCUCCACAGUUACGUGGUAGGAUACGCAACCCUAUGAUCCGGCCCUCAUGGAGGAUGAGACAUGCUCUGUCUGAAAUGGCGAUAACCGGGUACAUGUCUUGCCUCUACCUCUCCACAGUUACGUGGUAGGAUAUGCAACCCUAUGAUCCGGCCCUCAUGGAGGAUGAGACAUGCCCGCUCAAAAGCGACAACUGGCUCGGCUGUUGCAUUUGUCUUUCCACGCAAGUGGAAUUGCAGGGUAACUACCGACGCUGGACGUCACCGAGGACGUG
RNAcentral lists this unclassified non-coding RNA (275 nucleotides) under Bromus inermis (smooth brome grass). RNAcentral's name for it is "partial external transcribed spacer". The record is from RNAcentral. Lineage: Eukaryota; Viridiplantae; Streptophyta; Magnoliopsida; Poales; Poaceae.